GGCAGGAUGGCUGAGAUUAGGCGGUAAAUUGUAAAUUUAUUUACGAAAUUGUAUUUCUCCUACCA
Molecule: transfer RNA, 65 nt
Filed under: Cerambycidae sp. 1 KM-2017
Lineage: Eukaryota; Metazoa; Arthropoda; Insecta; Coleoptera; Cerambycidae
Description: tRNA-Tyr
Source: RNAcentral